CCGGCCCGGCCCGGCCCGGCCCGGCGUCGGGGAGGGCGGGCGGGGGGCUCAGCACCCCGCGCCACCGCCGUCUUCACGCCGUCGUUUGCCCUUCUCUCCUCCUGCAACGCGACGCGCUGGCCGGAGCGGGGGCACCCCUCCCUUCACGGAGAUAAGGACCCACCCUGCGGGAACCUGUACCAGCAAAUCCUGCUGAGGAAGUCUCUGCUCUGCACAGUUUAUACUCCCAAAUUUAGACAGUGCACAGGAGGUGAAAAAACAGAAGCUACUAACAGAACAAGAUCUUCCACACUAGGAGACUGCAUCUUGAUGCAAGUCCAACAGAAGUCGCCAAGCUGAAGCCCAGCUAUUUUGACAGAUAACGGGCCUCCUGUAGAGCAUGCUCCAAAGAGGUGGUCUGCUCACAGAAAUGAUUGUCAUCUUGGCUGAGUAUUGCUUGAAUGAUCAUCUUCAGAGUCUGUUGCAUUUGUGAGUAGG
Long non-coding RNA from Columba livia (rock pigeon), 477 nucleotides. RefSeq lists it as uncharacterized. NCBI's taxonomy places the organism in Eukaryota, Metazoa, Chordata, Aves, Columbiformes, Columbidae. The transcript is spliced from 3 exons. The record is from RefSeq and is a predicted model, not a curated record.